CACGUAGGGGGCAAGCGUUGUCCGGAAUCAUUGGGCGUAAAGAGCGUGUAGGCGGCCCGAUAAGUCCGCUGUGAAAGUCCAGGGCUCAACCCUGGGAUGCCGGUGGAUACUGUCGGGCUCGAGUCCGGAAGAGGAGUGUGGAAUUCCUGGUGUAGCGGUGAAAUGCGCAGAUAUCAGGAGGAACACCAAUGGCGAAGGCAGCACUCUGGGACGUGACUGACGCUGAGACGCGAAAGCGUGGGGAGCAAACAGG
Molecule: ribosomal RNA, 253 nt
Filed under: uncultured bacterium
Lineage: Bacteria
Description: partial 16S ribosomal RNA
Rfam family: Bacterial small subunit ribosomal RNA
Source: RNAcentral